RNAcentral lists this ribosomal RNA (777 nucleotides) under uncultured Neocallimastigales. RNAcentral's name for it is "partial large subunit ribosomal RNA". It matches the Rfam family "Eukaryotic large subunit ribosomal RNA", at positions 24 to 625 of the family's 3401-position model. The record is from RNAcentral. Lineage: Eukaryota; Fungi; Neocallimastigomycota; Neocallimastigomycetes; Neocallimastigales.
UACGACUACAUAUCAGGCAUAUCAAUAAGCGGAGGAAAAGAAACUAACUAGGAUUCCCUUAGUAACGGCGAGUGAAGCGGGAAGAGCUCAAAUUUGAAAUCUUCAAGGUUCUACCUUGACGAAUUGUAGUUUAAAGAAGUGUUUUCUGUUGGAGUUUUGGUAAAAGUUCUUUGGAAUAGGACAUCAUAGAGGGUGAGAAUCCCGUAUUUGACCAUUCUUCCAGCUGUGUGAUACACUUUCAAAGAGUCGGAUUGUUUGGGAAUGCAGUCCAAAAUGGGUGGUAAAUUUCAUCUAAAGCUAAAUAUUGGCGAGAGACCGAUAGCGAACAAGUACCGUGAGGGAAAGAUGAAAAGAACUUUGAAAAGAGAGUUAAACAGUACGUGAAAUUGUCAAAAGGGAAGCGUUUGACACCAGUGUUGUUUUCUCGAAAAUCAAUUAAAAAAGAUUGGAUUUUGUGUUGUAUUGACUUUAUCAGCUUUCUGCACUUUUUUCUUGUCUUUUUUAAUGCACUUUUCGUUUAACAAGUCAACAUCAAUUUCUUUUGUUGUAAAAGAGGUCAUUGGAAGGUGGCUUUCACUUCGGUGAAAGUGUUUAUAGCCUUUGACUUCUGCAAUCGGAGAGAUUGAGGUCUGCAGCGUAGAUCCUUCGGGGUUAGAUACAUUUGUGCUAAGUUAUAGCCUUUUCAUAGACAACAUUGUUGACUAUGAUCAGUCAUGUAGCUUACUCGCUUGUAUGUAUUUUACCUACGCUUAGGAUGUUGACGCGCGUGUGUGCGUG